UACGUAGGGGGCAAGCGUUGUCCGGAAUUAUUGGGCGUAAAGAGCGUGUAGGCGGUCCGGUAAGUUAGCUGUGAAAGUCAAGGGCUCAACCCUUGAAAGCCGGUUGAUACUGUCGGGCUAGAGUCCGGAAGAGGCGAGUGGAAUUCCCGGUGUAGCGGUGAAAUGCGCAGAUAUCGGGAGGAACACCAAUGGCGAAGGCAGCUCGCUGGGACGGUACUGACGCUGAGACGCGAAAGCGUGGGGAGCAAACAGG
RNAcentral lists this ribosomal RNA (253 nucleotides) under uncultured bacterium. RNAcentral describes it as "partial 16S ribosomal RNA". It matches the Rfam family "Bacterial small subunit ribosomal RNA", at positions 524 to 776 of the family's 1533-position model. The record is from RNAcentral.